RNAcentral lists this long non-coding RNA (256 nucleotides) under Nicotiana benthamiana. RNAcentral describes it as "long non-coding RNA (NBEN_LNC015716)". The record is from RNAcentral. Lineage: Eukaryota; Viridiplantae; Streptophyta; Magnoliopsida; Solanales; Solanaceae.
GCUGAACUAGCCACGGGUUGUGGUGAACCAGGAUACAUAGGUGCGUUUGUUCUAAUUUAUUUACUUAUCGCACUUAUUUAUUUCCUGCAAUUUUUAAAUUCCGCAAGUUUACGCUAAUUUUUAUUAUAACGCUAUUCUUUAUUUACUUAUCGCACUUAUUUAUUUCCUGCAAUUUUUAAAUUCCGCAAGUUUACGCUAAUUUUUGUUAUAACGCUAUUCACCCCCCCUCUAGAGUUAAGCGUAUUAUCUAACAAUU